GGCAAUGGGCCAGGCGCCUGAUCCAGCCAUAUAGGAAGGGAGCCCCUCUUUAAUUAGGGAAAAACUGUCUCAAGAAAAGUGAAAGAAUGAUAGAACUAAACUACAAAUCCUGACCAAACUCGUGCCAGCAGUCGCGGUAAGGCGAGUAGGAUAAGCGUAAUUCAUAAUAACUAGGUGUAUAGCGUCUGUAGGCGGCGUAGGGAAACAGGCGGGCUCCGGGGUCUUCACUCCGGGGUUGGGGUUUGCCUAGCUAGAGUGUUAAAUAGGUAAGGGGAACUAAAAUAAGAGGGAUAGAAUCUAAUGAAAAUAUUAUGACCACCAUGCGAAGGCAUCUUUCUAUUUAACACUGACGCUAAGAGACUAAAGUGUGGGUAGCGAAAAAGAUUA
RNAcentral lists this ribosomal RNA (387 nucleotides) under Eryniopsis caroliniana. RNAcentral's name for it is "SSU rRNA". It matches the Rfam family "Bacterial small subunit ribosomal RNA", at positions 367 to 780 of the family's 1533-position model. The record is from RNAcentral. Lineage: Eukaryota; Fungi; Entomophthoromycota; Entomophthoromycetes; Entomophthorales; Entomophthoraceae.